UCGGAGAUGUCGCGGUAGUCUGGCUGGGGCAACGGGUUGUCAUGGUUACCAGGCCGGUCCCCGUUACAUCAUUUCCGCCCCGCCGCCGGAGGCCGGAAGGAUGCCGGAGCUUGCAGGCAACGUGACGGGGGACGCCCGCUGGUGAGGGAGGCCCAUGGGGAGUCAGGAAUGGAUCAUAUGAUUAGCAGAGCACACGGACCUGAAAGUGGCAGCAUUCUUCCUGUGCAAUUUGAUAAGGAUUGUCCACAAUAAAUACAUUCCAUUCCUGUUA
Long non-coding RNA from Pseudophryne corroboree (corroboree frog), 271 nucleotides. RefSeq lists it as uncharacterized. The transcript has 2 exons. Lineage: Eukaryota; Metazoa; Chordata; Amphibia; Anura; Myobatrachidae. The record is from RefSeq and is a predicted model, not a curated record.